Molecule: ribosomal RNA, 695 nt
Filed under: Bacillus mycoides
Lineage: Bacteria; Bacillati; Bacillota; Bacilli; Caryophanales; Bacillaceae
Description: bacterial SSU rRNA
Rfam family: Bacterial small subunit ribosomal RNA
Source: RNAcentral
GAGCUUGCUCUUAUGAAGUUAGCGGCGGACGGGUGAGUAACACGUGGGUAACCUACCCAUAAGACUGGGAUAACUCCGGGAAACCGGGGCUAAUACCGGAUAAUAUUUUGAACUGCAUAGUUCGAAAUUGAAAGGCGGCUUCGGCUGUCACUUAUGGAUGGACCCGCGUCGCAUUAGCUAGUUGGUGAGGUAACGGCUCACCAAGGCAACGAUGCGUAGCCGACCUGAGAGGGUGAUCGGCCACACUGGGACUGAGACACGGCCCAGACUCCUACGGGAGGCAGCAGUAGGGAAUCUUCCGCAAUGGACGAAAGUCUGACGGAGCAACGCCGCGUGAGUGAUGAAGGCUUUCGGGUCGUAAAACUCUGUUGUUAGGGAAGAACAAGUGCUAGUUGAAUAAGCUGGCACCUUGACGGUACCUAACCAGAAAGCCACGGCUAACUACGUGCCAGCAGCCGCGGUAAUACGUAGGUGGCAAGCGUUAUCCGGAAUUAUUGGGCGUAAAGCGCGCGCAGGUGGUUUCUUAAGUCUGAUGUGAAAGCCCACGGCUCAACCGUGGAGGGUCAUUGGAAACUGGGAGACUUGAGUGCAGAAGAGGAAAGUGGAAUUCCAUGUGUAGCGGUGAAAUGCGUAGAGAUAUGGAGGAACACCAGUGGCGAAGGCGACUUUCUGGUCUGUAACUGACACUGAGGCGC